RNAcentral lists this long non-coding RNA (1462 nucleotides) under Monodelphis domestica (gray short-tailed opossum). Its description in RNAcentral is "lncRNA (ENSMODG00000045290.1)". The stretch from base 374 to 701 matches the Rfam family "SOX2 overlapping transcript exon 3". The record is from RNAcentral. Lineage: Eukaryota; Metazoa; Chordata; Mammalia; Didelphimorphia; Didelphidae.
GGGACCGCUUUCGAUUUUUAUUGUGGGUAGUCCGCACAAAGAGGCGUGUUAUUGUAUUUAAAAGAACCAUCUGUAGCAGAAACAAUGGCAUCAAAUUAUCUUUGAAUACCCACUGAAAAAACAUAAAGCUUUUUUUUUUAUUCUUCUGUACGGUGGGGGGAUAGAGCACUGUUGGGCUAACUGACUUUUUUGUUGUUCUCUGGGUACGUUCUUCUCUCUCCCCUCUCCCUCUCCCUCACCCUCUCUUCACUCUCCACUCUCUCUCUCUCCCUCUCUUUCGCUCUCUCGCUCGCUCGCUCGCUCUCUCUUUUAAAAAAUCAGCCAUUUGGGGUUUUAAGCCAUAAACGAUCUUUCUUGUUGCAGGGGCUCGCAGUGGCAAAGCUAAGCUAGGACUUGGAGGCUUCUGGCAGGCGAGGCGGGUGGAGGAGGAAGGAGGCUGACAGAUCCACUGGGGGGAAGAAAAGCCGAACUGGAUUCACCGUGUCCUGGAUGGAAAAGGAGGAGGAGGAAGAGGAGGAGGAGGAGAGGAGGAGGAGGAGGAGGACAGAGAGGGGAACCGCGGAGCUCCUUCAACUCGCGCUGUCCGGUGAGAAGUGAGCAAGCAGGGACUGAUAGGAGGCUCCGGGAGCCCUCGCCUCCUUUCGCUUUUUUACCUGCCAAUCAAACCGCUACAAGACAACACCCUGAUCUGGCAUGGACAUAUUCCAAGAUUCACAAGAAAUCAGGAUAAUGGAGAAACCUUUGCAGCCUUCCAGAAAUCAGAGAUCUGAGAAGUAAAAGAAAAAAAAAAACAUGUCCAGGAAGAAUCACAGGAAAGUAACCAUUUUUUUCCUCUUUAAUAUUAACAGCAACAUUCAAAGGAACUUGAAUUUCAAGGUGCCCAGACUUCCAAACAAUUAGAAAGCUGAUUUCCUGGUACCCUCAGAUGGGCAGCUUUUAGAAUAUUCCAGUUCCAGGCUGGCACCCCAAACACCUCUCAGUGGGAUUCAGUAGAACAUAUGAAAUGGUUUGCUAUUUAGGGCUGAGCAUCGUUUGGGGGAACUUUUGUACAAGAUUCCAUGGGGAAGAGAAGGAGCCUCUCCUUUGAAAGGGUUAACUGGGUAGGAGGUUGACAAAAGCGAGGAGAGCGGUUUGUUAAAGCACUUAGUUUAAUUUGAGAAGAUGUACAGAUAGAAAAUAGGAGGGAGGAAAGAGAAAUAUUUUGUAUUUUUGUCUCUCGAGUAGCAUCCUGUAUCCUGUCGAGUUUUUCACCAACACCUCUAUAGGGAGACCGAACUGGCCACGUCCAUCUCCAUGCCUUGCCUUAGACUGAUGUAGCCCCAUUUCCUUUUCCUCUUGAUUCCCCUCUUUAACAAGAAGUUAGACAAACUAAACCAAAUCCUCUCACAGGAGGAAAAACCGACCAAUCAACCCGGGGCAUUUUUCUGAUGCCAAAUAACCAUUUCGCUCAUUUUUCUUUUUA